GACGAACGCUGGCGGCGUGCUUAACACAUGCAAGUCGAACGGAAAGGCCCUGCUUUUGGGGUACUCGCGUGUGGAGCGGGGGAGUGACACGUGGGUGUACUGCCCUGCUCUUCGGGGUAUACCUGUUAGACAGUGGGGAAUACAUCGUAUGACAUUUCAUGCAGCGUGGGGGGUGUUAGUAUUUAUCGGUGUUGGAUGAGCGCGCGGCGUAUCAGCUUGUUGGUGGGGUAAUGGCUUACCAAGGCGUCUACGGGUAGCAGGCCUGAGAGGGUGGCCGGCCACAUUGGGACUGAGGUACGGCCCAGACUCCUACGGGAGGCAGCAGUGGGGAAUAUUGCACAAUGGGCGGAAGCCUGAUGCAGCAACGCCGCGUGGGGGAUGACGGCCUUCGGGUUGUAAACCGCUUUCGACAGGGACGAAGCUUGGGUGACGGUAACUGUAUAAGAAGCACCGGCUAACUACGUG
Molecule: ribosomal RNA, 465 nt
Filed under: uncultured bacterium
Lineage: Bacteria
Description: partial 16S ribosomal RNA
Rfam family: Bacterial small subunit ribosomal RNA
Source: RNAcentral